This 638-nucleotide ribosomal RNA is filed under the name uncultured bacterium. Its description in RNAcentral is "bacterial SSU rRNA". It matches the Rfam family "Bacterial small subunit ribosomal RNA", at positions 85 to 721 of the family's 1533-position model. The record is from RNAcentral.
UUGAUGGCGACCGGCGCACGGGUGAGUAACACGUAUCCAACCUUCCGUUUACUCAGGGAUAGCCUUUCGAAAGAAAGAUUAAUACCUGAUAGUAUGGUGAGAUUGCAUGAUAGCACCAUUAAAGAUUUAUUGGUAAACGAUGGGGAUGCGUUCCAUUAGGUAGUAGGCGGGGUAACGGCCCACCUAGCCGACGAUGGAUAGGGGUUCUGAGAGGAAGGUCCCCCACAUUGGAACUGAGACACGGUCCAAACUCCUACGGGAGGCAGCAGUGAGGAAUAUUGGUCAAUGGGCGAGAGCCUGAACCAGCCAAGUAGCGUGAAGGAUGAAGGUCCUACGGAUUGUAAACUUCUUUUAUACGGGAAUAAAGUAUCCUACGUGUAGGAUUUUGUAUGUACUUUAUGAAUAAGGAUCGGCUAACUCCGUGCCAGCAGCCGCGGUAAUACGGAGGAUGCGAGCGUUAUCCGGAUUUAUUGGGUUUAAAGGGAGCGCAGACGGGAGAUUAAGUCAGUUGUGAAAGUUUGCGGCUCAACCGUAAAAUUGCAGUUGAUACUGGUUUCCUUGAGUGCAGUCGAGGCAGGCGGAAUUCGUGGUGUAGCGGUGAAAUGCUUAGAUAUCACGAAGAACCCCGAUUGCGAAGG